ACGGAAGGCAGCAGUGAGGGAUAUUGGUCAAUGGAGGCAACUCUGAACCAGCCAUCUCGCGUGAAGGAAUACGGCCCUACGGGUCUUAAACUUCUUUUAUAGGGGGAUAAAGUGAGCCACGAGUGGCUUUUUGUAGGUACCCUAUGAAUAAGCAUCGGCUAACUCCGUGCCAGCAGCCGCGGUAAUACGGAGGAUGCGAGCGUUAUCCGGAUUUCUUGGGUUUAAAGGGUGCGCAGGCGGCACGUUAAGUCAGCGGUGAAAUGUCGGGGCUCAACCCGGGCACUGCCGUUGAAACUGGCGAGCUUGAGUACGGAUGAAGUCGGCGGAAUGUGAUGUGUAGCGGUGAAAUGCUUAGAUAUGUCACAGAACAACGAUUGCGAAGGCAGCUGACUAAUCCGCAACUGACGCUCAGGCACGAAAGCGUGGGGAUCGAACAGGAUGAGAUA
RNAcentral lists this ribosomal RNA (446 nucleotides) under uncultured Porphyromonas sp. Its description in RNAcentral is "partial 16S ribosomal RNA". It matches the Rfam family "Bacterial small subunit ribosomal RNA", at positions 341 to 784 of the family's 1533-position model. Lineage: Bacteria; Pseudomonadati; Bacteroidota; Bacteroidia; Bacteroidales; Porphyromonadaceae. The record is from RNAcentral.